RNAcentral lists this ribosomal RNA (254 nucleotides) under uncultured bacterium. RNAcentral's name for it is "partial 16S ribosomal RNA". It matches the Rfam family "Bacterial small subunit ribosomal RNA", at positions 524 to 776 of the family's 1533-position model. The record is from RNAcentral.
UACGUAGGGGGCAAGCGUUGUUCGGAUUUACUGGGCGUAAAGGGCGCGUAGGCGGCGCGUAAAGUCGGACAUGAAAUCAUUAGACUUAACCUGAUGGCUGUGCCCGAUACUUACGUGCUUGGAGUGCGGGAGAGGCAAUCGGAAGUCUCGGUGUAGCGGUGAAAUGCGUAGAUAUCGAGAGGAACUCCGGUGACGAAGGUGGGUUGCUGGACCGACACUGACGCUGAGGCGCGAAAGCUAGGGGAGCAAACGGG